GGCCGUGUGGCGGAAUUGGCAGACGCCCUGGACUUAAAAUCCAGUGAGGGGUAACCCUCGUGCGGGUUCGAGUCCCGCCGCGGCUA
RNAcentral lists this transfer RNA (86 nucleotides) under Lacipirellula parvula. It matches the Rfam family "tRNA". From Rfam's summary of the family: Transfer RNA (tRNA) molecules are approximately 80 nucleotides in length. Their secondary structure includes four short double-helical elements and three loops (D, anti-codon, and T loops). Further hydrogen bonds mediate the characteristic L-shaped molecular structure. tRNAs have two regions of fundamental functional importance: the anti-codon, which is responsible for specific mRNA codon recognition, and the 3' end, to which the tRNAs corresponding amino acid is attached (by aminoacyl-tRNA synthetases). tRNAs cope with the degeneracy of the genetic code in two manners: having more than one tRNA (with a specific anti-codon) for a particular amino acid; and 'wobble' base-pairing, i.e. permitting non-standard base-pairing at the 3rd anti-codon position. The record is from Rfam by way of RNAcentral. RNAcentral also lists the same sequence under 1 other name. Lineage: Bacteria; Pseudomonadati; Planctomycetota; Planctomycetia; Pirellulales; Lacipirellulaceae.